This is a long non-coding RNA of Hemicordylus capensis (graceful crag lizard), 567 nucleotides long. RefSeq lists it as uncharacterized. NCBI's taxonomy places the organism in Eukaryota, Metazoa, Chordata, Lepidosauria, Squamata, Cordylidae. The transcript is spliced from 3 exons. The record is from RefSeq and is a predicted model, not a curated record.
UGUGCACAGGCCUAACAACAAUAUGCCUAUUCGUGGUAGUUGCUGUUUAUACUUCUCUUGCAAGAAAUCCCUAAACCACAUGCCGAAUCAUGACAGUUUUAAGAGCAGUUUGGGAUCAUGUGAGCACAGGAAAACUCCCCUACAACAAAAAUAACCUCCGGAUGCAGGGAAUGGAACUGCCCCGUGGAAACAUUUUUUUUUUAAAAAGCUCAUCACAACUGAAAGGAUGUAGAGCUGAAGUUUGCCAGACUCAGGCCCUGAAAGGAGCUUCAGAUGCUGAUCAAAUGCACCCAUUUCUCCUUCCACGGCGAAAGACACUUCCCGCAGACUCCACUGCUACUCCCCACAGAAUCUCCACCAAUGAAUAGAACACUCUUUUGCAGUAGUCAAAUUCCCUGGUCUGAGGAUUUUCUCCCACUCUGUGCAGGCUUCUCAAUUUUAUCUGUUUUAUUGUUUUUAUGCCUGUUUUUAUAUGUUUUUAGCUUGAUGUUUUAACUGCUUUUUUAUUGUAUGUUUUAAUUUUUGUAAACCGCCUUGGGGUUGUUUUUAACUAACGGUGGUAUAGAA